RNAcentral lists this ribosomal RNA (740 nucleotides) under uncultured bacterium. RNAcentral's name for it is "bacterial SSU rRNA". It matches the Rfam family "Bacterial small subunit ribosomal RNA", at positions 8 to 796 of the family's 1533-position model. The record is from RNAcentral.
AGAGUUUGAUCCUGGCUCAGAACGAACGCUGGCGGCAGGCUUAACACAUGCAAGUCGAGCGCCCCGCAAGGGGAGCGGCAGACGGGUGAGUAACGCGUGGGAACAUACCCUCCGGUUCGGAAUAGCUCAGGGAAACUUGGAUUAAUACCGGAUACGGCCUAGCGGCGAAAGAUUCAUCGCCGGAGGAUUGGCCCGCGUCUGAUUAGCUAGUUGGUGGGGUAAUGGCCCACCAAGGCGACGAUCAGUAGCUGGUCUGAGAGGAUGAUCAGCCACAUUGGGACUGAGACACGACCCAAACUCCUACGGGAGGCAGCAGUGGGGAAUAUUGGACAAUGGGCGCAAGCCUGAUCCAGCCAUGCCGCGUGAGUGAUGACGGCCUUAGGGUUGUAAAGCUCUUUCGCUAGGGACGAUAAUGACGGUACCUAGACAAGAAGCCCCGGCUAACUUCGUGCCAGCAGCCGCGGUAAUACGAAGGGGGCUAGCGUUGUUCGGAAUUACUGGGCGUAAAGCGCGUGUAGGCGGGCGUUUAAGUCAGGGGUGAAAUGCCAAGGCUCAACCUUGGAACUGCCUUUGAUACUGAAUGUCUUGAGUCCGGGAGAGGUGAGUGGAACUGCGAGUGUAGAGGUGAAAUUCGUAGAUAUUCGCAAGAACACCAGUGGCGAAGGCGGCUCACUGGCCCGGAACUGACGCUGAGACGCGAAAGCGUGGGGAGCAAACAGGAUUAGAUACCCUAGUAGUCC